UUUGCUCAACUGGUGGCCUUGAAGCCUUUAGCUCGAUCAGUUGCCCACUUUUGCAGAGUUCAGGGCGGGCACUGCCGGCAAGCAACUCAAGGAGAAACGCGCAGGUGCCUGCCUAGCCUCAGCAGGCAGGCAUGCCGAUUCCGGUUGAUUUGGGCGAGCCCGACAACAGGAGGUUCUUCGUGUGGGUGGAAGACAACAUAUUCACGGUGUUACCGCCUGAUGCCGAUGACCAGUACUCUGGAUUUAAUAAGUGGACCGUCCAAAAGCCUGCAGGUGGCUUAACUGCCAUUAACUUAUUGUUUCCAGGCGCCGCAACCGCUGCUCAAUUAUUAUACGGUCGCCCAGACUCCGAAUGCUCCAAACCCGAGGAUGUUGAUGGCGUCUACUGCGUCGAGGCCCAAGUUCACUUCGUUGGAGAACAACUUGAUGGUACCGAGUUCGUUUCAACCCGAGAAAAUGGUAUUCCACAAAGGUUUAUAGUGGGACAAGAGAAUGUGAUGCAUGGCUUAAAUUUGGUGGUCAGCGCAAUGCGACCAGGAGAGAGAGCUAUAUUCACCAUCCCUCCAAAGUUAGCCAUGACCAAGGCUGGCUCCCCUGCCAGUAUUCCGUCAAACAUACCUCCGGACCAAACAUUACGAUUUGAGAUUGAACUCAUCUCGCUGUUUGCUAUUACUGAUAUUCUCGAAAAUGAAAGCAUAUUGAAAAAGAUCAUUAAGCGCCCAUUACCGGACAAAUCUCACUCCAAUCAUGCAGAUACUGUAAUCGUGAAUUACAAUGCAUGUCUAGAAGACGGAACUUCAGUUUCCAAAUCUGAAUGUCUCGAGUUGAACCUUGCCAGUCGUACCGGUUUCUUUUGUCCAGCAUUGAAAUAUGCUGUGAAGACUAUGAGGGAAGGAGAGGAAGCGAUAUUAAUUGUAAAGCCAAGAUAUGCUUUCGGUGCUCGAGGCAGGGCUUCUACUGGAGACCAAGCUGCUGUGCCCCCUGAUUCAACUCUUUAUCUGUACGUCCAGUUAGCUGAACGGAAGACAGCAAAACAAAAUGAAGCAGAGGAAAAAGGUAUCCGCCAGUAUAUCUGCUAAUAAAUACUCCCUCCGUAUUUUAAUGUAUGACGCCGUUGACUUUUUAAUCAACGUUUGACCAUUUGUUUUAUUCAAAUCUUUUGUGCAAAUAUGAAAAUAUUUAUGUCAUGCUUAAAGAACAUUUGAUGACUAAUCAAGUCACAAUAAAAUAAAUGAUAAUUAUAUAAUUUUUUUAAUAAAACAAAUGGUCAAACGUUAAAUAAAAAGUCAAUAGCGUAAUACAUUAAAAUAUGGAGGUAAUAUAUGUUAGCAUGCUAUUUUAAAAAAAAAACAAUUAUUAUAGGGAUGUAGCGCCAAUUUUAAUU
Molecule: long non-coding RNA, 1384 nt
Filed under: Oryza sativa Indica Group (long-grained rice)
Lineage: Eukaryota; Viridiplantae; Streptophyta; Magnoliopsida; Poales; Poaceae
Description: lncRNA OsKYG_01g0020920
Source: RNAcentral